UGGAUGCUUUAGUCCUACCAUCUCAGGCCUGGUAUUCGUUAAUCCAAAUUUGUAAAUACGGUGACAUUUUAAUCCAUUUUUAUACGAGUUAUUCCAAAAUAUUACAGAUCCAGAAAAAUUCAGUUAUUGUUAUUACCCUAAAUAUCCUUUUAAUGUUUUUGAUGUUUUGUAGAGAGAGAAACAAAUCAGUUGCAGAGAAAAUAGAUCUAGGUUUUCUUGUUAUUCUACCUCCUUCCCUUCGUCUGCUUCUAUUACAAUUGAUCAUAAAAAAUAUGAUCCAAUAGAUAGCGUAACCAAAUAUAUCAGUUCAACAAUUUCAUUGGAGAUUUCGCAAAAAGGAACUAUUGGAUUGGGUCUUCGAAAUUUUGAAGGAGAAAUUAAAUAAAACAUAGACGUAAAGGAGAUUGAGAAGAAGCAUUAGAAGGAAAGUUGGGUUAUAUGGAUUAUUUUUUCCGCUACAAUCAAAACCGGAGAUGUUGAGAAAGGGACUAUCGUUGAAUAGAUGAUUGAAGAAGUAGUGAGGGACAGUGAUCAUUUAAGGAGCUUAAUUAAUAUUUUGUGUAGCUAAAAGGAAAGUGGGUGUAACUUCCUUAAAUGACACAAGCUCAAGAUCACACCAGGUUAUAAGCUGGUGUCCCAUGUACUAUCACUUUAACCUUGCAUUUCUGGUGUGGCUCCAACUUCUAUCUUUUGAUGGGGAGACAUGGAAAGACCGGAUCAUUUUGUAGGCGUGUAUAUAAUUGUACAAGAUGAUGCAACGCGGUGCAAGGGGUGUACACAUUGGUGCACUGGUGUAUUUUCAAUGAAAAAGUAGGUUUGUUUGUGGCUACGAAGGAUUGGUUUUAGGAAUGUUUCACAUGGAUGAAUAUAUUGAUGCACCAAUAUACUUCUCAUGAAAAAGUUAUCUGCUAAACUUACCUCUACAAAUCUAGUUGUUAUCCAACUGGAGCUUGGCAUGGUUGAUAGUUUUUUGUCUGUGUGGACUAGGAUGGCAGUUUGGCAUAAUUGGAUUUUUUUUGGAUCUUUGCAGCGGUGUACAUAAUUGUACACACAAAUGUAAAUUAAUUUUUUUAAAAUUAAAAUUAUAUAGUCAUAUGUGUACUCUUUUUGUAGC
Papaver somniferum (opium poppy) is the source of this 1114-nucleotide long non-coding RNA. RefSeq lists it as uncharacterized. The record is from RefSeq and is a predicted model, not a curated record. The transcript has 8 exons. NCBI's taxonomy places the organism in Eukaryota, Viridiplantae, Streptophyta, Magnoliopsida, Ranunculales, Papaveraceae.